This 255-nucleotide ribosomal RNA is filed under the name Triticum aestivum (bread wheat). Its description in RNAcentral is "partial small subunit ribosomal RNA". Lineage: Eukaryota; Viridiplantae; Streptophyta; Magnoliopsida; Poales; Poaceae. The record is from RNAcentral.
AUGCAUACCUUACUACACAUGAUGAAUACUUCAUCAACAACCUCAAAGAGACAUGGAACUGUCACUACGAAAACUCAAGGGUCUAGAUCGGUCAUUUUCCAAUCGAGUAUGUCGCGACUACGAAGCAAGGAAACCCGACUGACUGUGGCUUUCACAUGUUGGAAUACCUUGCAAAGUGGGAAGGCCGACGGGUCCCUGUCGUCACAGCUUCAAUGGUCAUUGAGCUCCGCAAAAUAUACACAUGGAAUUGGUUGA